UAGAUUGAAGCCCGCUGGGUUGGGGGUUUAGCUGUUAAUUAAAAUUUUACGGGAUCGAGGCCCGUCAGUCUAG
RNAcentral lists this transfer RNA (73 nucleotides) under Gehyra mutilata (stump-toed gecko). RNAcentral describes it as "tRNA-Asn". The record is from RNAcentral. Lineage: Eukaryota; Metazoa; Chordata; Lepidosauria; Squamata; Gekkonidae.